RNAcentral lists this transfer RNA (64 nucleotides) under Reduvius gregoryi. Its description in RNAcentral is "tRNA-Ile". The record is from RNAcentral. Lineage: Eukaryota; Metazoa; Arthropoda; Insecta; Hemiptera; Reduviidae.
AAUAAGGUGCCUGAUUAAAGGACUAUUUUGAUAGAAUAGAAUAAGUAUGCAAAUACCCUUAUUA